RNAcentral lists this ribosomal RNA (374 nucleotides) under uncultured bacterium. RNAcentral's name for it is "bacterial SSU rRNA". It matches the Rfam family "Bacterial small subunit ribosomal RNA", at positions 355 to 755 of the family's 1533-position model. The record is from RNAcentral.
UGGGGAAUAUUGGACAAUGGGGGCAACCCUGAUCCAGCCAUGCCGCGUGUGUGAAGAAGGCCUUCGGUUGUAAAGCACUUUAAGCAGGGAGGCGUUACCUGCAGAAUAAGCACCGGCUAACUUCGUGCCAGCAGCCGCGGUAAUACGAAGGGUGCAAGCGUUAAUCGGAAUUACUGGGCGUAAAGCGCGCGUAGGCGGUUUGAUAAGUUGGAUGUGAAAGCCCCGGGCUCAACCUGGGAAUUGCAUCCAAGACUGUCAGGCUAGAGUACGGGAGAGGGGGUAGAAUUCCACGUGUAGCGCGAAAAUGCGUAGAGAUGUGGAGGAAUACCGGUGGCGAAGGCGGCCCCCUGGAUCGAUACUGACGCUGAGGUGCG